Long non-coding RNA from Lycium barbarum (goji berry), 878 nucleotides. RefSeq lists it as uncharacterized. The record is from RefSeq and is a predicted model, not a curated record. The transcript is spliced from 4 exons. NCBI's taxonomy places the organism in Eukaryota, Viridiplantae, Streptophyta, Magnoliopsida, Solanales, Solanaceae.
GCCUAAAUAAGACGCCCUUUCGCCCAUUCUAUCUCAAACUCCAAAGGUGCGACAAUAAAAACAACUCUUCACCAAUUCGACCGUAUUUCGCUCUCCCUAUUUUUCUUCGGUUCUUUCUACUCCCCCUGCUCUUGCCAACCUCACUUUUUCCAAUAGAUAUGUGAAAUCGGCGUUCGAAAUCCCUCCUGAUUUUGAAAUUCUUCCACCCAGCGGACAAAAAUCCCAACAGACCGCCCAAUAUGUUGCUUUUCCAUUCUCAACCACUUUGUUUUACUUCUGCCACAUGAAUUGCUUCCAUGUACUUUCCUACUACUUCAUUGGUCUACUUAUAGUUCGAAUCCCAUAUGUUUUGAAAUAAAAUUUGAAUCUCCAAAAGCACUUUACAACUUCCAUGAGACUUUUCAACGUUGGAUAGAUUGGACUUUGCAAAUUGAAUCCGGAGAAGAUGAAGCGGAAGGUUGUCAACAAAUUUCUCAAAGAUGGUGCUAUUUUACUCUCUUUUUUAACUUUGGAAGAUCCAACUUUAAUUCCUCUGUGUAAUCUCUAUGGCAUAUGCACGGCAAGCACAGGUGAGAAGAGAGAAAAUAAGUGAAAGAAUGAAGCUUCUUCAAGAACUGACACCACACUACGCUAAAUUACUUAUGGUGACUGAAAACUCUGUGAUGCUCUACAAGAUCAUUGACUAUGUGCAAUCCAUUCAGCAGCAAAUUAGGUAAAUUACUUAGGCGGCAUUUGUUUACGGUGGUUGGUUUGCAAACUAAGAGUUCGAGUUCUCCGAAAAAGUGGUAGGUUUACAUUUCUAUUCUAUUUCCUUAUUUUGGUAAUGUAAUAGAUAGGAAAUUCCUAAAACUGUUCAACAAAAGAUAAGUUCAUAAAUU